RNAcentral lists this ribosomal RNA (497 nucleotides) under uncultured bacterium. RNAcentral's name for it is "partial 16S ribosomal RNA". It matches the Rfam family "Bacterial small subunit ribosomal RNA", at positions 28 to 507 of the family's 1533-position model. The record is from RNAcentral.
GAUGAACGCUGGCGGCGUGCCUAAUACAUGCAAGUCGAGCGAACAGAUGAGGCGCUUGCUCCUCUGACGUUAGCGGCGGACGGGUGAGUAACACGUGUAUAACCUACCUAUAAGACUGGGAUCACUUCGGGACACCGGAGCUAAUACCGGAUAAUAUAUUGAACCGCAUUGUUCAAUAGUGAAAGACGGUUUUGCUGUCACUUAUAGAUGGAUCCGGGCGGCAUUAGCUAGUUGGUAAGUUCACGGCCUACCACGGCAAGCAUGCGUAACCGACCGGAGAGAGUGAUAGGCCACAUUGGAACUGGGACACGGACCAGGCUCCUGCGGGAGGCAGCAGUAGGGAAUGUGCCGCAGUGGGCGAAAGCAUGACGGAGCAAGGGCGAGUGAGUGAUGGAGGUCUUGGGAUCGUAAAGCUGUGUUAUGAGGGAAGAACAAAUGUGUAAGUAACUAUGCACGGCUUGACGGUACCUAAUCAGAAAGCCACGGCUAACUACGUG